Molecule: ribosomal RNA, 522 nt
Filed under: uncultured bacterium
Lineage: Bacteria
Description: bacterial SSU rRNA
Rfam family: Bacterial small subunit ribosomal RNA
Source: RNAcentral
UCCAGCAAUGCCGCGUGGAUGAAGAAGGUCUUCGGAUUGUAAAGUCCUUUCGGCGGGGACGAUGAUGACGGUACCCGCAGAAGAAGCCCCCGGCUAACUUCGUGCCAGCAGCCGCGGUAAGUACGAAGGGGGGCUAGCGUUGCUCGGAAUUACUGGGCGUAAAGGGCGCGUAGGCGGACCACUCAGUCAGGCGUGAAAGCCCCGGGCUCAACCUGGGAACUGCGCUUGAGACUUGUGGUCUUGAGGGCGAGAGAGGGUGGUGGAAUUCCCAGUGUAGAGGUGAAAUUCGUAGAUAUUGGGAAGAACACCGGUGGCGAAGGCGGCCACCUGGCUCGCAUCUGACGCUGAGGCGCGAAAGCGUGGGGAGCAAACAGGAUUAGAUACCCUGGUAGUCCACGCUGUAAACGAUGUGCGCUGGAUGUUGGGUGACCUAGUCACUCAGUGUCGUAGCUAACGCGGUAAGCGCACCGCCUGGGGAGUACGGCCGCAAGGUUGAAAACUCAAAAGGAAUUGACGGGGGGC